AGCGGAAAGGCCCUUCGGGGUACUCGAGCGGCGAACGGGUGAGUAACACGUGAGCAACCUGCCCCAGGCUUUGGGAUAACCCCGGGAAACCGGGGCUAAUACCGAAUAUGACUUCUGACCGCAUGGUUGGUGGUGGAAAGUUUUUCGGCUUGGGAUGGGCUCGCGGCCUAUCAGCUUGUUGGUGGGGUGAUGGCCUACCAAGGCGACGACGGGUAGCCGGCCUGAGAGGGCGACCGGCCACACUGGGACUGAGACACGGCCCAGACUCCUACGGGAGGCAGCAGUGGGGAAUAUUGCACAAUGGGCGGAAGCCUGAUGCAGCGACGCCGCGUGAGGGAUGACGGCCUUCGGGUUGUAAACCUCUUUCAGCAGGGACGAAGCGUAAGUGACGGUACCUGCAGAAGAAGCGCCGGCCAACUACGUGCCAGCAGCCGCGGUAAGACGUAGGGCGCGAGCGUUGUCCGGAUUUAUUGGGCGUAAAGAGCUCGUAGGCGGCUUGUCGCGUCGACCGUGAAAACCUGGGGCUCAACCCCAGGCCUGCGGUCGAUACGGGCAGGCUAGAGUUCGGUAGGGGAGACUGGAAUUCCUGGUGUAGCGGUGAAAUGCGCAGAUAUCAGGAGGAACACCGGUGGCGAAGGCGGGUCUCUGGGCCGAUACUGACGCUGAGGAGCGAAAGCGUGGGGAGCGAACAGGAUUAGAUACCCUGGUAGUCCACGCUGUAAACGUUGGGCGCUAGGUGUGGGGGGCCUCUCCGGUUCCCUGUGCCGCAGCUAACGCAUUAAGCG
This 785-nucleotide ribosomal RNA is filed under the name Micromonospora sp. 3191. Its description in RNAcentral is "bacterial SSU rRNA". It matches the Rfam family "Bacterial small subunit ribosomal RNA", at positions 65 to 866 of the family's 1533-position model. Lineage: Bacteria; Bacillati; Actinomycetota; Actinomycetes; Micromonosporales; Micromonosporaceae. The record is from RNAcentral.